This 707-nucleotide ribosomal RNA is filed under the name Micrococcus luteus. Its description in RNAcentral is "bacterial SSU rRNA". It matches the Rfam family "Bacterial small subunit ribosomal RNA", at positions 370 to 1087 of the family's 1533-position model. The record is from RNAcentral. Lineage: Bacteria; Bacillati; Actinomycetota; Actinomycetes; Micrococcales; Micrococcaceae.
AAUGGGCGCAAGCCUGAUGCAGCGACGCCGCGUGAGGGAUGACGGCCUUCGGGUUGUAAACCUCUUUCAGUAGGGAAGAAGCGAAAGUGACGGUACCUGCAGAAGAAGCACCGGCUAACUACGUGCCAGCAGCCGCGGUAAUACGUAGGGUGCGAGCGUUAUCCGGAAUUAUUGGGCGUAAAGAGCUCGUAGGCGGUUUGUCGCGUCUGUCGUGAAAGUCCGGGGCUUAACCCCGGAUCUGCGGUGGGUACGGGCAGACUAGAGUGCAGUAGGGGAGACUGGAAUUCCUGGUGUAGCGGUGGAAUGCGCAGAUAUCAGGAGGAACACCGAUGGCGAAGGCAGGUCUCUGGGCUGUAACUGACGCUGAGGAGCGAAAGCAUGGGGAGCGAACAGGAUUAGAUACCCUGGUAGUCCAUGCCGUAAACGUUGGGCACUAGGUGUGGGGACCAUUCCACGGUUUCCGCGCCGCAGCUAACGCAUUAAGUGCCCCGCCUGGGGAGUACGGCCGCAAGGCUAAAACUCAAAGGAAUUGACGGGGGCCCGCACAAGCGGCGGAGCAUGCGGAUUAAUUCGAUGCAACGCGAAGAACCUUACCAAGGCUUGACAUGUUCUCGAUCGCCGUAGAGAUACGGUUUCCCCUUUGGGGCGGGUUCACAGGUGGUGCAUGGUUGUCGUCAGCUCGUGUCGUGAGAUGUUGGGUUAAGUCC